GCCGGAGUGGAGGAACGGCAGACUCACGAGCCUCAAAAUCUCGCGUCCGCAAGGACAUGCGGGUUCGAAUCCCGCCUCCGGCACCA
Molecule: transfer RNA, 86 nt
Filed under: Actinomycetota bacterium
Lineage: Bacteria; Bacillati; Actinomycetota
Description: tRNA-Leu
Rfam family: tRNA
About the family: Transfer RNA (tRNA) molecules are approximately 80 nucleotides in length. Their secondary structure includes four short double-helical elements and three loops (D, anti-codon, and T loops).
Source: RNAcentral